UUUCUAAAACAAUUUUUUUUUUCGUACAGGAAAAAUUUCUUGUAGUUUUAAACCUACGAAUUACUUCUCAAAGAACAAAAAAUAAAGAUGAAAAUCGGAAGCCCGUGAUAUUUCAAUUUCCAUACGUAAUACGUUAAUGCGAUCGUGAAAUAUUCAUACACGCAAUAACCUUCUUAUUUCAUCCUUUUCUACAGUCUGAAUACAUACAUAUAUAAAGAGAGAUCAUGUCUAUAGAUGCAGAGAUGUAUCGACAUCAGUUAUCUCAAAACUGCAAGGAACCCUGAAAUCUGCACCAGAAAGCUGCUGCGUAUCGAGGGAUUCAAAAUCUUCUGUAUUAUUGCCAUACAAGUUGAGUCCAAGUGCCAAUGGAUCUUGAAAAUCAUUCUUUGAUGACGAAAAACUCAUUUUGUUCUGAAUAGGGUCAACGAACAGCUUAAGAAGUUCUCUCUCUUCUCUCUUCUCCUUUAUUCUCUGCAACUGUCGAAAUCUUUCUUGUAGGAGUACGAUGGAAGAACCAACAACUUUCUGAUCAUUAUUUUGUCGUCCCAUGGUUCAAAUCAUAUAUGUUUCAUGUUCUCUGCGUACAUAUAUAAAGAAUGAAGGUACAGAAGAAUCUGCCACUGUGAGAAAAACCCAAGAAGAAAUAGUUAUAAGGGUAAUGGGGAGGGUGGCUGAUUUGAACCUGAGAAGGUGAAAGGACUUUUUGGGAGAGGAAAAUGUUGAACAAAAAAGGACAACUGAAAAUGGACAUAAUGAAUGGAAUGAUGUAUGUAAAGGAAUAUAAGGAGUAGCUGAUGUUGGCGUCGGCUGUCUUUAGCAGUCAUUUAGCUUCGUAGAUGGUUCCAUUUUUUGUUGGUUAAUGG
This 863-nucleotide long non-coding RNA is filed under the name Olea europaea (common olive). RNAcentral describes it as "long non-coding RNA (OEUR_LNC006359)". The record is from RNAcentral. Lineage: Eukaryota; Viridiplantae; Streptophyta; Magnoliopsida; Lamiales; Oleaceae.